This 277-nucleotide ribosomal RNA is filed under the name uncultured bacterium. RNAcentral describes it as "partial 16S ribosomal RNA". It matches the Rfam family "Bacterial small subunit ribosomal RNA", at positions 28 to 315 of the family's 1533-position model. The record is from RNAcentral.
GACAAACGCUGGCGGCGCGCCUAAAACAUGCAAGUCGUGCGGACCAGCUUGUCUGGUCAGCGGCGAACGGCUGAGUAACACGUGGGUGACCUACCGUCGAGCGGGGGAUAACCGGCCGAAAGGUUGGCUAAUACCGCAUGCGCUCACUCGGGCUGCCGGGUGAGGAAAGCCGCAAGGCGCUCGGCGAUGGGCCCGCGGCCGAUUAGCUGGUUGGUGGGGUAACGGCCCACCAAGGCGACGAUCGGUAGCUGGUCUGAGAGGAUGGCCAGCCAGACGG